RNAcentral lists this transfer RNA (85 nucleotides) under Alphaproteobacteria bacterium. Its description in RNAcentral is "tRNA-Leu". It matches the Rfam family "tRNA". Rfam says of the family: Transfer RNA (tRNA) molecules are approximately 80 nucleotides in length. RNAcentral also lists the same sequence under 1 other name. Lineage: Bacteria; Pseudomonadati; Pseudomonadota; Alphaproteobacteria. The record is from RNAcentral.
GCGGGCGUGGCGAAACUGGUAGACGCGCUGGAUUUAGGUUCCUGUGGGGCAACCCGUAAGAGUUCGAUUCUCUUCGCCCGCACCA